Molecule: ribosomal RNA, 908 nt
Filed under: uncultured bacterium
Lineage: Bacteria
Description: bacterial SSU rRNA
Rfam family: Bacterial small subunit ribosomal RNA
Source: RNAcentral
GGUAAGUCAGUUGUGAAAGUUUGCGGCUCAACCGUAAAAUUGCAGUUGAUACUGUCAGUCUUGAGUACAGUAGAGGUGGGCGGAAUUCGUGGUGUAGCGGUGAAAUGCUUAGAUAUCACGAAGAACUCCGAUUGCGAAGGCAGCUCACUGGACUGCAACUGACACUGAUGCUCGAAAGUGUGGGUAUCAAACAGGAUUAGAUACCCUGGUAGUCCACACAGUAAACGAUGAAUACUCGCUGUUUGCGAUAUACAGUAAGCGGCCAAGCGAAAGCAUUAAGUAUUCCACCUGGGGAGUACGCCGGCAACGGUGAAACUCAAAGGAAUUGACGGGGGCCCGCACAAGCGGAGGAACAUGUGGUUUAAUUCGAUGAUACGCGAGGAACCUUACCCGGGCUUAAAUUGCAGUGGAAUGAUGUGGAAACAUGUCAGUGAGCAAUCACCGCUGUGAAGGUGCUGCAUGGUUGUCGUCAGCUCGUGCCGUGAGGUGUCGGCUUAAGUGCCAUAACGAGCGCAACCCUUAUCUUCAGUUACUAACAGGUCAUGCUGAGGACUCUGGAGAGACUGCCGUCGUAAGAUGUGAGGAAGGUGGGGAUGACGUCAAAUCAGCACGGCCCUUACGUCCGGGGCUACACACGUGUUACAAUGGGGGGUACAGAAGGCAGCUAGCGGGUGACCGUAUGCUAAUCCCAAAAUCCUCUCUCAGUUCGGAUCGAAGUCUGCAACCCGACUUCGUGAAGCUGGAUUCGCUAGUAAUCGCGCAUCAGCCACGGCGCGGUGAAUACGUUCCCGGGCCUUGUACACACCGCCCGUCAAGCCAUGGGAGCCGGGGGUACCUGAAGUACGUAACCGCAAGGAUCGUCCUAGGGUAAAACUGGUGACUGGGGCUAAGUCGUAACAAGGUAACCA